CCUACGGGAGGCUGCAGUGAGGAAUAUUGGUCAAUGGGCGCAAGCCUGAACCAGCCAAGUCGCGUGAGGGAUGACGGUCCUAUGGAUUGUAAACCUCUUUUGUCGGGGAGCAAGGCCCGCCACGUGUGGCGGGAAGGAGAGUACCCGAAGAAAAAGCAUCGGCUAACUCCGUGCCAGCAGCCGCGGUAAUACGGAGGCUGCGAGCGUUAUCCGGAUUUAUUGGGUUUAAAGGGUGCGUAGGCGGAAGGUUAAGUCAGCGGUAAAAUGUCGGUGCUCAACACCGGCCUGCCGUUGAAACUGGUCUUCUUGAGUGAGCGAGAAGUAUGCGGAAUGCGUGGUGUAGCGGUGAAAUGCAUAGAUAUCACGCAGAACUCCGAUUGCGAAGGCAGCAUACCGGCGCUCAACUGACGCUGAGGCACGAAAGCGUGGGGAUCGAACAGGAUUAGAUACCCGGGUAGUC
Molecule: ribosomal RNA, 460 nt
Filed under: uncultured bacterium
Lineage: Bacteria
Description: partial 16S ribosomal RNA
Rfam family: Bacterial small subunit ribosomal RNA
Source: RNAcentral